GAAACGUCCCGUGUGGGAGGGGCGGGUCUGGGUGCGGCCUGCCGCAUGACUCGUGGUUCGGAGGCCCACGUGGCCGGGGCGGGGACUCAGGCGCCUGGGGCGCCGACUGAUUACGUAGCGGGCGGGGCCGGAAGUGCCGCUCCUUGGUGGGGGCUGUUCAUGGCGGUUCCGGGGUCUCCAACAUUUUUCCCGGCUGUGGUCCUAAAUCUGUCCAAAGCAGAGGCAGUGGAGCUUGAGGAUUCUUACAGAAAACAAGUGGUUAUAGAUGGUGAAACCUGUUUGUUGGACAUACUGGAUACAGCUGGACAAGAAGAGUACAGUGCCAUGAGAGACCAAUACAUGAGGACAGGCGAAGGCUUCCUCUGUGUAUUUGCCAUCAAUAAUAGCAAGUCAUUUGCGGAUAUUAACCUCUACAGGGAGCAGAUUAAGCGAGUAAAAGACUCGGAUGAUGUACCUAUGGUGCUAGUGGGAAACAAGUGUGAUUUGCCAACAAGGACAGUUGAUACAAAACAAGCCCACGAACUGGCCAAGAGUUACGGGAUUCCAUUCAUUGAAACCUCAGCCAAGACCAGACAGGGUGUUGAAGAUGCUUUUUACACACUGGUAAGAGAAAUACGCCAGUACCGAAUGAAAAAACUCAACAGCAGUGAUGAUGGGACUCAGGGUUGUAUGGGAUUGCCAUGUGUGGUGAUGUAACAAGAUACUUUUAAAGUUUUGUCAGAAAAGAGCCACUUUCAAGCUGCACUGACACCCUGGUCCUGACUUCCCUGGAGGAGAAGUAUUCCUGUUGCUGUCUUCAGUCUCACAGAGAAGCUCCUGCUACUUCCCCAGCUCUCAGUAGUUUAGUACAAUAAUCUCUAUUUGAGAAGUUCUCAGAAUAACUACCUCCUCACUUGGCUGUCUGACCAGAGAAUGCACCUCUUGUUACUCCCUGUUAUUUUUCUGCCCUGGGUUCUUCCACAGCACAAACACACCUCUGCCACCCCAGGUUUUUCAUCUGAAAAGCAGUUCAUGUCUGAAACAGAGAACCAAACCGCAAACGUGAAAUUCUAUUGAAAACAGUGUCUUGAGCUCUAAAGUAGCAACUGCUGGUGAUUUUUUUUUUCUUUUUACUGUUGAACUUAGAACUAUGCUAAUUUUUGGAGAAAUGUCAUAAAUUACUGUUUUGCCAAGAAUAUAGUUAUUAUUGCUGUUUGGUUUGUUUAUAAUGUUAUCGGCUCUAUUCUCUAAACUGGCAUCUGCUCUAGAUUCAUAAAUACAAAAAUGAAUACUGAAUUUUGAGUCUAUCCUAGUCUUCACAACUUUGACGUAAUUAAAUCCAACUUUCACAGUGAAGUGCCUUUUUCCUAGAAGUGGUUUGUAGACUUCCUUUAUAAUAUUUCAGUGGAAUAGAUGUCUCAAAAAUCCUUAUGCAUGAAAUGAAUGUCUGAGAUACGUCUGUGACUUAUCUACCAUUGAAGGAAAGCUAUAUCUAUUUGAGAGCAGAUGCCAUUUUGUACAUGUAUGAAAUUGGUUUUCCAGAGGCCUGUUUUGGGGCUUUCCCAGGAGAAAGAUGAAACUGAAAGCACAUGAAUAAUUUCACUUAAUAAUUUUUACCUAAUCUCCACUUUUUUCAUAGGUUACUACCUAUACAAUGUAUGUAAUUUGUUUCCCCUAGCUUACUGAUAAACCUAAUAUUCAAUGAACUUCCAUUUGUAUUCAAAUUUGUGUCAUACCAGAAAGCUCUACAUUUGCAGAUGUUCAAAUAUUGUAAAACUUUGGUGCAUUGUUAUUUAAUAGCUGUGAUCAGUGAUUUUCAAACCUCAAAUAUAGUAUAUUAACAAAUUACAUUUUCACUGUAUAUCAUGGUAUCUUAAUGAUGUAUAUAAUUGCCUUCAAUCCCCUUCUCACCCCACCCUCUACAGCUUCCCCCACAGCAAUAGGGGCUUGAUUAUUUCAGUUGAGUAAAGCAUGGUGCUAAUGGACCAGGGUCACAGUUUCAAAACUUGAACAAUCCAGUUAGCAUCACAGAGAAAGAAAUUCUUCUGCAUUUGCUCAUUGCACCAGUAACUCCAGCUAGUAAUUUUGCUAGGUAGCUGCAGUUAGCCCUGCAAGGAAAGAAGAGGUCAGUUAGCACAAACCCUUUACCAUGACUGGAAAACUCAGUAUCACGUAUUUAAACAUUUUUUUUUCUUUUAGCCAUGUAGAAACUCUAAAUUAAGCCAAUAUUCUCAUUUGAGAAUGAGGAUGUCUCAGCUGAGAAACGUUUUAAAUUCUCUUUAUUCAUAAUGUUCUUUGAAGGGUUUAAAACAAGAUGUUGAUAAAUCUAAGCUGAUGAGUUUGCUCAAAACAGGAAGUUGAAAUUGUUGAGACAGGAAUGGAAAAUAUAAUUAAUUGAUACCUAUGAGGAUUUGGAGGCUUGGCAUUUUAAUUUGCAGAUAAUACCCUGGUAAUUCUCAUGAAAAAUAGACUUGGAUAACUUUUGAUAAAAGACUAAUUCCAAAAUGGCCACUUUGUUCCUGUCUUUAAUAUCUAAAUACUUACUGAGGUCCUCCAUCUUCUAUAUUAUGAAUUUUCAUUUAUUAAGCAAAUGUCAUAUUACCUUGAAAUUCAGAAGAGAAGAAACAUAUACUGUGUCCAGAGUAUAAUGAACCUGCAGAGUUGUGCUUCUUACUGCUAAUUCUGGGAGCUUUCACAGUACUGUCAUCAUUUGUAAAUGGAAAUUCUGCUUUUCUGUUUCUGCUCCUUCUGGAGCAGUGCUACUCUGUAAUUUUCCUGAGGCUUAUCACCUCAGUCAUUUCUUUUUUAAAUGUCUGUGACUGGCAGUGAUUCUUUUUCUUAAAAAUCUAUUAAAUUUGAUGUCAAAUUAGGGAGAAAGAUAGUUACUCAUCUUGGGCUCUUGUGCCAAUAGCCCUUGUAUGUAUGUACUUAGAGUUUUCCAAGUAUGUUCUAAGCACAGAAGUUUCUAAAUGGGGCCAAAAUUCAGACUUGAGUAUGUUCUUUGAAUACCUUAAGAAGUUACAAUUAGCCGGGCAUGGUGGCCCGUGCCUGUAGUCCCAGCUACUUGAGAGGCUGAGGCAGGAGAAUCACUUCAACCCAGGAGGUGGAGGUUACAGUGAGCAGAGAUCGUGCCACUGCACUCCAGCCUGGGUGACAAGAGAGACUUGUCUCCAAAAAAAAAGUUACACCUAGGUGUGAAUUUUGGCACAAAGGAGUGACAAACUUAUAGUUAAAAGCUGAAUAACUUCAGUGUGGUAUAAAACGUGGUUUUUAGGCUAUGUUUGUGAUUGCUGAAAAGAAUUCUAGUUUACCUCAAAAUCCUUCUCUUUCCCCAAAUUAAGUGCCUGGCCAGCUGUCAUAAAUUACAUAUUCCUUUUGGUUUUUUUAAAGGUUACAUGUUCAAGAGUGAAAAUAAGAUGUUCUGUCUGAAGGCUACCAUGCCGGAUCUGUAAAUGAACCUGUUAAAUGCUGUAUUUGCUCCAACGGCUUACUAUAGAAUGUUACUUAAUACAAUAUCAUACUUAUUACAAUUUUUACUAUAGGAGUGUAAUAGGUAAAAUUAAUCUCUAUUUUAGUGGGCCCAUGUUUAGUCUUUCACCAUCCUUUAAACUGCUGUGAAUUUUUUUGUCAUGACUUGAAAGCAAGGAUAGAGAAACACUUUAGAGAUAUGUGGGGUUUUUUUACCAUUCCAGAGCUUGUGAGCAUAAUCAUAUUUGCUUUAUAUUUAUAGUCAUGAACUCCUAAGUUGGCAGCUACAACCAAGAACCAAAAAAUGGUGCGUUCUGCUUCUUGUAAUUCAUCUCUGCUAAUAAAUUAUAAGAAGCAAGGAAAAUUAGGGAAAAUAUUUUAUUUGGAUGGUUUCUAUAAACAAGGGACUAUAAUUCUUGUACAUUAUUUUUCAUCUUUGCUGUUUCUUUGAGCAGUCUAAUGUGCCACACAAUUAUCUAAGGUAUUUGUUUUCUAUAAGAAUUGUUUUAAAAGUAUUCUUGUUACCAGAGUAGUUGUAUUAUAUUUCAAAACGUAAGAUGAUUUUUAAAAGCCUGAGUACUGACCUAAGAUGGAAUUGUAUGAACUCUGCUCUGGAGGGAGGGGA
RNAcentral lists this unclassified non-coding RNA (4072 nucleotides) under Homo sapiens (human). Its description in RNAcentral is "NRAS proto-oncogene, GTPase, transcript variant 7". The record is from RNAcentral. Lineage: Eukaryota; Metazoa; Chordata; Mammalia; Primates; Hominidae.